Molecule: ribosomal RNA, 247 nt
Filed under: uncultured bacterium
Lineage: Bacteria
Description: partial 16S ribosomal RNA
Rfam family: Bacterial small subunit ribosomal RNA
Source: RNAcentral
AUACGUAGGGAGCAAGCGUUGUCCGGAAUUACUGGGCGUAAAGGGUGCGUAGGCGGCUUGGCAAGUCAGAUGUGAAAUCCCCGGGCUUAACUCGGGGGGUGCAUUUGAAACUGCUGAGCUUGAGUGCAGGAGAGGAAAGCGGAAUUCCUAGUGUAGCGGUGAAAUGCGUAGAUAUUAGGAGGAACACCAGUGGCGAAGGCGGCUUUCUGGACUGUAACUGACGCUGAGGCACGAAAGCGUGGGGAGC